Molecule: ribosomal RNA, 345 nt
Filed under: uncultured Leptolinea sp.
Lineage: Bacteria; Bacillati; Chloroflexota; Anaerolineae; Anaerolineales; Anaerolineaceae
Description: bacterial SSU rRNA
Rfam family: Bacterial small subunit ribosomal RNA
Source: RNAcentral
GGGGAGCUUGCACAGGUGCUGCAUGGCUGUCGUCAGCUCGUGUCGUGAGAUGUUCGGUUAAGUCCGCUAACGAGCGCAACCCUCGCUGUGUGUUAUAUGUGUCACACGGGACUGCCGGUCUUAAGCCGGAGGAAGGUGGGGAUGAUGUCAAGUCAGCAUGGCCUUUAUAUCCUGGGCUACACACACGCUACAAUGGCCAACACAAUAGGUUGCUAAGCCGCGAGGUGGAGCCAAUCCUCAAAGUUGGUCUCAGUUCAGAUUGCAGGCUGCAACCCGCCUGCAUGAAGAUGGAGUUGCUAGUAACCGCAGGUCAGCUAUACUGCGGUGAAUACGUUCCCGGGGCUU